GAUGAACGCUAGCGACAGGCCUAACACAUGCAAGUCGAGGGGCAGCACGGUGUAGCAAUACACGGGUGGCGACCGGCGCACGGGUGAGUAACGCGUAUGCAACCUGCCUACUACAAGGGGAUAACCCGUUGAAAGACGGACUAAUACCCUAUAACACAGGGAAUCCGCAUGGAUAUAUUUGUUAAAGAUUUAUCGGUAGUAGAUGGGCAUGCGUUCCAUUAGCUUGUUGGUGAGGUAACGGCUCACCAAGGCAACGAUGGAUAGGGGAACUGAGAGGUUGAUCCCCCACACUGGAACUGAGACACGGUCCAGACUCCUACGGGAGGCAGCAGUGAGGAAUAUUGGUCAAUGGACGAGAGUCUGAACCAGCCAAGUCGCGUGAAGGAAGACGGCCCUACGGGUUGUAAACUUCUUUUGUAAGGGAAUAAAUAGUCUUACGCGCUAAGACGUUGCAGGUACCUUACGAAUAAGGAUCGGCUAACUCCGUGCCAGCAGCCGCGGUAAACACGAG
Molecule: ribosomal RNA, 511 nt
Filed under: uncultured bacterium
Lineage: Bacteria
Description: bacterial SSU rRNA
Rfam family: Bacterial small subunit ribosomal RNA
Source: RNAcentral